RNAcentral lists this ribosomal RNA (469 nucleotides) under uncultured bacterium. RNAcentral's name for it is "bacterial SSU rRNA". It matches the Rfam family "Bacterial small subunit ribosomal RNA", at positions 791 to 1257 of the family's 1533-position model. The record is from RNAcentral.
UAGUCCACGCCGUAAACGAUGAGUGCUAGCUGUCGGGACAUUAGUCUCGGUGGCGCAGCUAACGCAGUAAGCACUCCGCCUAGGAAGUACGGUCGCAAGAUUAAAACUCAAAGGAAUUGACGGGGACCCGCACAAGCGGUGGAGCAUGUGGUUUAAUUCGAGGCAACGCGAAGAACCUUACCAGGACUUGACAUCCUUAUCGCGCGCACCAGAGAUGGAGCGUUUCAGUUCGGCUGGAUAAGUGACAGGUGCUGCACGGCUGUCGUCAGCUCGUGUCGUGAGAUGUUGGGUUAAGCCCCGCAACGAGCGCAACCCUCGUCCUUAGUUGCCAUCAUUUAGUUGGGCACUUUAAGGAAACUGCCGGUGAUAAGCCGGAGGAAGGUGGGGAUGACGUCAAGUCCUCAUGGGCCCUUACAGGGCUGGGGCUACACACGUGCUACAAUGGCAUCUACAGUGAGCAGCGAUCCCG